UGGGGAAUUUUGGACAAUGGGCGAAAGCCUGAUCCAGCAAUGCCGCGUGUGUGAAGAAGGCCUUCGGGUUGUAAAGCACUUUUGUCCGGAAAGAAAUCCUUGGCUCUAAUACAGUCGGGGGAUGACGGUACCGGAAGAAUAAGCACCGGCUAACUACGUGCCAGCAGCCGCGGUAAUACGUAGGGUGCAAGCGUUAAUCGGAAUUACUGGGCGUAAAGCGUGCGCAGGCGGUUUGCUAAGACCGAUGUGAAAUCCCCGGGCUCAACCUGGGAACUGCAUUGGUGACUGGCAGGCUAGAGUAUGGCAGAGGGGGGUAGAAUUCCACGUGUAGCAGUGAAAUGCGUAGAGAUGUGGAGGAAUACCGAUGGCGAAGGCAGCCCCCUGGGCCAAUACUGACGCUCAUGCACGAAAGCGUGGGGAGCAAACAGGAUUAGAUACCCUGGUAGUCCACGCCCUAAACGAUGUCAACUAGUUGUUGGGGAUUCAUUUCCUUAGUAACGUAGCUAACGCGUGAAGUUGACCGCCUGGGGAGUACGGUCGCAAGGUUAAAACUCAAAGGAAUUGACGGGAUCAUAGCUG
Molecule: ribosomal RNA, 579 nt
Filed under: uncultured bacterium
Lineage: Bacteria
Description: partial 16S ribosomal RNA
Rfam family: Bacterial small subunit ribosomal RNA
Source: RNAcentral